AAGUCGUAACAAGGUUUCCGUAGGUGAACCUGCGGAAGGAUCAUUAAUACGUACUUUCACGUAUCACUCAAUCGUGGACUUGUCCCGCUUUUUGUGGAGAGUUGGAGGCGAAAUUUGUGGUCAUGUUUUACCAGCGUGGGGGAGGGACUAAGCUUAACGGCUUUUUUUCUCUUUGACCUGUUCGCCGAGGGUUAAUAAAUCGAACGCCAACUUUUGAUCGGAAAGACAAGUGCAGCUUGUUCUGCAUGCAUCUCCUGGUCGGAGUUGUUCGAUUCGACUCUUUACAAAGCGUUUUUUCUUAAUCCAUGCUGGGAAUCAAUUAUUUUUACCCCAAGUACUAUUAUCAAGAACUAAUUGUGUUUUUUCUGCUUCAUUGCGGAGAAAACGCCAAAUACCGAAACUUAAGAACAACUCUUAACAACGGAUAUCUUGGUUCUC
Molecule: unclassified non-coding RNA, 438 nt
Filed under: fungal sp.
Lineage: Eukaryota; Fungi
Description: partial internal transcribed spacer region
Rfam family: Eukaryotic small subunit ribosomal RNA (bases 1-46)
Source: RNAcentral